GUAACGGCGAGUGAAGCGGCAACAGCUCAAAUUUGAAAUCUGGCCCCCAGGGCCCGAGUUGUAAUUUGCAGAGGAUGCUUUUGGCGCGGUGCCUUCCGAGUUCCCUGGAACGGGACGCCAUAGAGGGUGAGAGCCCCGUCUGGUCGGACACCAAGCCAGUGUAAAGCUCCUUCGACGAGUCGAGUAGUUUGGGAAUGCUGCUCUAAAUGGGAGGUAUAUGUCUUCUAAAGCUAAAUACCGGCCAGAGACCGAUAGCGCACAAGUAGAGUGAUCGAAAGAUGAAAAGCACUUUGAAAAGAGGGUUAAACAGUACGUGAAAUUGUUGAAAGGGAAGCGUUUAUGACCAGACUUGGGCCCGGUGAAUCAUCCAGCGUUCUCGCUGGUGCACUUUGCCGGGCUCAGGCCAGCAUCAGUUCGUCGCGGGGGAUAAAAGCUUCGGGAACGUGGCUCCCUCGGGAGUGUUAUAGCCCGUUGCAUAAUACCCUGCGGUGGACUGAGGUUCGCGCUCCGCAAGGAUGCUGGCGUAAUGGUCAUCAGCGACCCGUCUUGAAACACGGACCAAGGAGUCGUCUUCGUAUGCGAGUGUUCGGGUGUAAAACCCCUACGCGUAAUGAAAGUGAACGCAGGUGAGAGCUUCGGCGCAUCAUCGACCGAUCCUGAUGUUCUCGGAUGGAUUUGAGUAAGAGCAUACGGGGCCGGACCCGAAAGAAGGUGAACUAUGCCUGUAUAGGGUGAAGCCAGAGGAAACUCUGGUGGAGGCUCGCAGCGGUUCUGACGUGCAAAUCGAUCGUCAAAUAUGGGCAUG
RNAcentral lists this ribosomal RNA (805 nucleotides) under Tolypocladium tropicale. RNAcentral's name for it is "eukaryotic LSU rRNA". It matches the Rfam family "Eukaryotic large subunit ribosomal RNA", at positions 83 to 919 of the family's 3401-position model. The record is from RNAcentral. Lineage: Eukaryota; Fungi; Ascomycota; Sordariomycetes; Hypocreales; Ophiocordycipitaceae.